AGUGAACGCUGGCGGUAGGCCUAACACAUGCAAGUCGAACGGCAGCACAGUAAGAGCUUGCUCUUACGGGUGGCGAGUGGCGGACGGGUGAGGAAUACAUCGGAAUCUACUUUUUCGUGGGGGAUAACGUAGGGAAACUUACGCUAAUACCGCAUACGACCUACGGGUGAAAGCAGGGAUCUUCGGACCUUGCGCGAUUGAAUGAGCCGAUGUCGGAUUAGCUAGUUGGCGGGGUAAAGGCCCACCAAGGCGACGAUCCGUAGCUAGUCUGAGAGGAUGAUCAGCCACACUGGAACUGAGACACGGUCCAGACUCCUACGGGAGGCAGCAGUGGGGAAUAUUGGACAAUGGGCGCAAGCCUGAUCCAGCCAUACCGCGUGGGUGAAGAAGGCCUUCGGGUUGUAAAGCCCUUUUGUUGGGAAAGAAAAGCAGCAGGUUAAUACCCCGCUGUUCUGACGGUACCAAAAGAAUAAGCACCGGCUAACCUCGUG
Molecule: ribosomal RNA, 491 nt
Filed under: uncultured bacterium
Lineage: Bacteria
Description: partial 16S ribosomal RNA
Rfam family: Bacterial small subunit ribosomal RNA
Source: RNAcentral